UUGGGCCGUCGUGCUGCGUUUCCUUGGAACCAGGUCGUUACGCCUUGCCUGCAAGGCAACAAGUGGUGCCGAAAGCCCGGGAACACAAAAGAAACAGAACCCGGGAUCGGGAGUCUCCUGGACAAGGCCAGCGGCUGCGGGGGGUCCUGGACUCCACCACAGCGAGGAGGGACGCCUCCGGAAACCGCCACAGCCUCAUAGAAGCUGUGGCCUGAGUUUGAAUUGGAACCGCCAUAGCCUCAUACAAGCUGUGGCCUGAGUUUUACGAGGACCGCCGCAACCUUGCAGAAGUUGUGACCAGAGUCUUGUAGGACCGCCAGUCUCGUGGAAGUCGUGGCCCGAGUCGCGUGGGGACCGCCUCAGCCUCAUGGAAGCUGUAGCCCGAGUCGACAUGAUCAAGAGACGUCCGCGAGACGUGCACACCCGCGUUCUGGAGGAGAGAGACAGACCACCGAGCCGCCAGACAGCACCCGAAGGACCGGCACGGGCGAGAUCCAGUCAUCAAGGGUAUCUCUGGGUAAUGUUGCUGCUGGGGCUAGUUGCCAGGGGGCAAGCCAGCUCACAGUACUAUCCCCAUCAGCCAUUCAGGUGGGUCAUACGGCACCUCACCAAUGACAAGGUGCUCAGACACGUCAUUACACCAGACGCCCCAUCCUUCAUACUUCGCAUUACAGACCUGUUCCCGGGACGACCAAAGCCAGACCCUCAUUCCCCAUACGCCAAAAACACAUACCUAUCCUAUUGGUGCCCAGCCUCAAACCCCGGAAAAAGUUACUGUAAUCGCCCGGGGUGGGGAUAUUGCGGACACUACGGUUGUGAAACAAUAGUCACAGACACCAGACCGACAGGGCCGGGGUGGGACCCACAGGAACCCGACAGAUUCUUACAGUUCACUUGGGCGCCAAAAGGCUGCAAAACACCACUCUUCCAUCACGAAAGCACCUAUCGAAACAGCCACAAACUCCCAAAAAUCCGGAAAUGUAUUAGGUACAACAUGACAGUCUUGCAGCCCAGAGACCCCAGUUGGGCCUUUGGAAAAAUGUGGACAGUAGUCCUUCACGGGACAAACGAGUAGGUAAACGUGCAGAUUAUCAGGCUCAUACCGUCAGUACCCCGAGCGGUCGGACCAAACAAAGCAAUCAAAAGCGUGCAGAAAGGGAAAAACACGACCUACCCCAAAACCUUACCUACAAGGGUCGCGAAUACCCAGACAAGCCUAGCGAGAACCAUUCAGACACAUCGCUUAGCUAAGUCGGAUUCGGACCCAAUCCUUCGCAUGUUAGAAGCUACCUUCCUAUCCCUAAACGAAUCCAACCCUAACCUAACCAAUUCCUGUUGGCUAUGUUACGAUGUCAAACCACCCUUUUACGAAGGAGUCGCCUUAGAUACCCCUUUCACAUAUUCCUCAGCAGACGCCCCUCACCAAUGCAGAUGGGACACUCCCCGCAAAGGAAUCACCCUGAGUCAGGUCACGGGGAGGGGGAGAUGCUUUGGAAAUGCAGCCCUAGCUAGGCGGGAAGGCAACGUGUGCACCAAAGUAGUCAAACCCGACAGGAGAAAAAAGUGGGUAGUCCCAUCCGCAUCGGGCAUGUGGGUUUGCCAAAGAUCCGGAGUGAGUCCCUGUGUGUUCCUAGACAAAUUCAAUGACUCAACAGACUUCUGUGUCCAAGUCUUAAUCGUUCCCAGGAUCCUGUAUCACUCAGACGAGGAGGUGUACCAACUCCUCGGAGAACCCAGCCGACUCCACAAGAGAGAAAUAAUAACAGGCAUAACAAUCGCAAUGUUGCUCGGCCUAGGAGCGGCAGGAACAGCAACGGGAGUCGCGGCCUUGGCGACCCAUCACCAAGGUUUGUCCCAGCUGCAGAGGACCGUCGACGAGGAUCUGCAGAGAAUAGAGAAAUCCAUAUCCUUUCUAGAGAAAUCAGUUUCCUCACUUUCAGAGGUGGUCCUGCAGAACAGGCGAGGACUGGACCUCCUACUCAUGCAACAAGGAGGCCUGUGCGCCGCCUUGAAGGAGGAAUGCUGUUUCUACGCAGACCACACAGGAGUCGUCAGAGACUCCAUGGCAGAACUCCGAAACAGACUGGCUCAGAGACAGAGAGACAGAGACGACCAACAAAGCUGGUUCGAAUCCUGGUUCAAUCAAUCACCAUGGCUAACCACUCUAAUUUCUUCCCUAAUAGGUCCGUUAGCAAUCCUGCUUCUAGCUGUCACGUUCGGACCGUGCCUACUGAACAAGCUAGUCUCAUUCGUCCGGACCCGCUUGGAACGGACCAACAUCCUGCUCUUGGGCAGACAUCCGAUGCUGUGAAUUCAACAAGAAGUUCAACAGGGAACGCUGCCGGACGCAAGAACCCGAGAAAGAACUUGCCAGGCAGAAAAACUAACUCAGGAACCCCAAAUCCCCUUUCCUUGUCAAGCGACAACCUUAGAUACCUCAUAUCAGCAUGUAGACGACUACCUCAUCCAUUUGUGGGAGAAGGGGGGGGAGAUGUGGCAGAGAGAAUAGGGACAGGCGGUCGGAAGAUUUCGGGCUGUCACGGAAACCUGAUAGGGCCUCCCUCACCUGACUCCCAGAGAUAAGGAUAGCCGCAGGACAAGAGGCCAAGAAUGUUGUAAUCCCCCCAAGAAUGUUGUAACCCUACCUAACACGGCCUCCACCCAGUCCCCUUACUAACCAUAUAAGGUAAAAGUCAGACCCCAAAGGUAGGGGAAGGACCAAGGGUAUAUAUACCGAGGAGAAAACCAAUAAAGGGCCUUUGGACCGUC
Long non-coding RNA from Passer domesticus (house sparrow), 2769 nucleotides. RefSeq lists it as uncharacterized. Lineage: Eukaryota; Metazoa; Chordata; Aves; Passeriformes; Passeridae. The transcript has 2 exons. The record is from RefSeq and is a predicted model, not a curated record.